GCCUUCUGAUUACCACAAAUAACCCCAGAUUAUGAAAAACUCUCUCCCUACGAGUGCGGCUUUGAUCCAGUAGGAUCAGCACGACUCCCUUUUUCCCUUCGAUUUUUUCUAGUCGCUAUUUUAUUUUUAUUAUUUGACCUAGAAAUUGCACUUCUUCUACCUUUACCCUGAGGAGACCAACUAUCUUCCCCCUUGACAACCUUUACCUGAGCAUCCCUAGUUCUAAUCCUACUAACCCUCGGGUUAGUUUACGAAUGAAUUCAAGGAGGUUUAGAAUGGGCAGAAUAGGCGCUUAGUUUAAGAAAAACAUUUGAUUUCGGCUCAAAAACUUAUGGUUAAAUUCCAUAAUUGCCUAAUGACCCCUAUCCACUUUGCUUUUUCUUCAACCUUUAUGUUAGGAUUGGCAGGACUUGCUUUCCACCGAGCUCACCUUCUUUCUGCCCUUCUUUGUUUAGAGGGUAUAAUAUUAUCACUCUUUAUUGCCUUGUCUAUCUGGACUUUAGAAUUUAACUCAACAAACUUUGCAAUAUCCGCUAUAAUUCUCCUAGCUUUUUCAGCCUGCGAAGCAAGUGCAGGUCUAGCAUUACUGGUAGCCAUAGCACGAACACACGGCACCGACAGCCUUCAAAGCCUCAACCUCUUACAAUGCUAAAAAUCCUAAUUCCCUCAAUAUUUAUGCUUUUAACAACAUGGACUUCCCCUUUUAAGCAACUUUGAUCUACAAUCCUAAUAUAUAGUUUUUUAGUAGCAACCCUUAGCUUGACUUGACUUGCCAUACCAACGGACACCGGAUGAUUCUACAUUAACAAUUACAUAGCCUAUGAUCCCCUUUCUUCUCCUCUACUCGUACUAACCUGCUGAUUACUUCCCCUGAUAAUUAUUGCCAGCCAAAAUCACCUGGCAGUAGAACCUGAAAAUCGUCAACGAACAUAUAUUUCCUUAUUAAUUUCUCUGCAAAUCUUUUUAAUCCUAGCAUUUAGUGCUACAGAAAUAAUUAUAUUUUAUGUUAUAUUUGAAGCCACGCUGAUUCCCACUUUAAUUAUUAUUACUCGCUGAGGUAAUCAAAUGGAGCGAUUAAACGCAGGAACCUAUUUUUUAUUUUAUACAUUAGCAGGGUCCCUUCCUUUACUUGUUGCCCUUUUAAUUUACCAUAGUUCUAUGGGCUCAUUAUCAUAUCUUUCUCUCACUAGUUUACCAUUAACAUGUUCUAAUUUAUAUGCAGAUAAGCUAUGAUGAAUAGCCUGCCUUUUAGCUUUUCUUGUUAAAAUACCAUUAUAUGGAGUUCACUUAUGACUACCAAAAGCCCACGUAGAAGCCCCUAUUGCUGGUUCAAUGGUCCUUGCCGCAGUUUUAUUAAAGCUGGGGGGUUAUGGAAUAAUGCGAAUCAUAAUUAUUCUAGACCCUUUAACUAAAGAACUAAGUUAUCCAUUUAUUAUCUUAGCCCUUUGGGGUGUAAUUAUAACUGGCUCAAUCUGUUUACGACAAACUGAUCUAAAAUCACUAAUCGCUUACUCAUCAGUAAGCCACAUAGGUUUAGUUGCAGCUGGUAUUUUAAUUCAGACCCCCUGAGGUUUUACAGGAGCCCUAAUUUUAAUAAUUGCCCAUGGCUUAACUUCGUCAGCCUUAUUCUGCCUGGCUAAUACUAAUUACGAACGAACUCAUAGUCGGACUAUUAUUCUUGCCCGAGGUCUACAGAUAGUUCUCCCAUUAAUAGCUACUUGAUGAUUCCUUGCUAGCCUAGCAAAUUUAGCACUGCCUCCUCUCCCUAAUCUUAUAGGUGAAAUUAUAAUUAUUACUUCUUUAUUUAAUUGAUCUUUCUACACGCUUAUUUUAACUGGCCUUGGUACUCUAAUUACUGCAAGUUAUUCCCUUUACAUAUUUCUUCUAACCCAACGAGGCCCAAUCCCCCAUCAUUUGAUCUUAUUAGAACCCUCUCACACCCGGGAACACCUUCUUCUUGCCCUGCAUCUCCUCCCAUUACUGUUGCUUAUUGCCAAGCCAGAGUUGGUUUGAGGAUGAACAGCCU
RNA transcript from Fundulus heteroclitus (mummichog), 2026 nucleotides. It is a transcript of the gene named NADH-ubiquinone oxidoreductase chain 4-like, with no coding region annotated. The record is from RefSeq and is a predicted model, not a curated record. The transcript has a single exon. Lineage: Eukaryota; Metazoa; Chordata; Actinopteri; Cyprinodontiformes; Fundulidae.